RNAcentral lists this transfer RNA (88 nucleotides) under Corynebacterium sp. SCR221107. Its description in RNAcentral is "tRNA-Ser". It matches the Rfam family "tRNA". From Rfam's summary of the family: Transfer RNA (tRNA) molecules are approximately 80 nucleotides in length. Lineage: Bacteria; Bacillati; Actinomycetota; Actinomycetes; Mycobacteriales; Corynebacteriaceae. The record is from RNAcentral.
GGAGGUAUGACAGAGCGGCCGAAUGUACUGGUCUUGAAAACCAGCGUUGGGAAACCAACCCAGGGUUCAAAUCCCUGUGCCUCCGCCA